This 925-nucleotide ribosomal RNA is filed under the name Cyclocybe cylindracea. Its description in RNAcentral is "partial large subunit ribosomal RNA". It matches the Rfam family "Eukaryotic large subunit ribosomal RNA", at positions 71 to 955 of the family's 3401-position model. The record is from RNAcentral. Lineage: Eukaryota; Fungi; Basidiomycota; Agaricomycetes; Agaricales; Hemipholiotaceae.
AGGAUUCCCCUAGUAACUGCGAGUGAAGCGGGAAAAGCUCAAAUUUUAAAUCUGGCGGUCCUUUGCGGCCGUCCGAGUUGUAAUCUAGAGAAGUGCUUACCCGCGCUGGACCGUGUACAAGUCUCCUGGAAUGGAGCGUCAUAGAGGGUGAGAAUCCCGUCUUCGACACGGACUGCCAGGGCUUAUGUGGUGCGCUCUCGAAGAGUCGAGUUGUUUGGGAAUGCAGCUCUAAAUGGGUGGUAAAUUCCAUCUAAAGCUAAAUACAGGCGAGAGACCGAUAGCGAACAAGUACCGUGAGGGAAAGAUGAAAAGAACUUUGGAAAGAGAGUUAAACAGUACGUGAAAUUGCUGAAAGGGAAACGUUUGAAGUCAGUCGCGUUGGCUGGGGAUCAACCUUGCUCUUGCAGGGCGCACUCUCUGGUUUCGACGGGUCAGCAUCAGUUUUGGUCGCUGGAGAAAGGCUAGGGGAAUGUGGCAUCGCUUCGGUGAUGUGUUAUAGCCCUUGGUUGUAUGCAGCGGUUGGGACUGAGGAACUCAGCGCGCGCCUCUUCACGGGGGUGCCGGGUCUUUCGAGACCACGCUUACGCGCUUAGGAUGCUGGCAUAAUGGCUUUAAGCGACCCGUCUUGAAACACGGACCAAGGAGUCUAACAUGCUUGCGAGUGUUUGGGUGGAAAACCCGAGCGCGUAAUGAAAGUGAAAGUUGGGAACCCUGUCGUGGGGUGCACCGACGCCCGGACCAGACCUUCUUGUGACGGCUCCGCGGUAGAGCAGGCAUGUUGGGACCCGAAAGAUGGUGAACUAUGCCUGAAUAGGGUGAAGCCAGAGGAAACUCUGGUGGAGGCUCGUAGCGAUUCUGACGUGCAAAUCGAUCGUCAAAUUUGGGUAUAGGGGCGAAAGACUAAUCGAACCAUCUAGUAGCUGGU